Molecule: ribosomal RNA, 564 nt
Filed under: uncultured Alphaproteobacteria bacterium
Lineage: Bacteria; Pseudomonadati; Pseudomonadota; Alphaproteobacteria
Description: bacterial SSU rRNA
Rfam family: Bacterial small subunit ribosomal RNA
Source: RNAcentral
ACUCCUACGGGAGGCAGCAGUGGGGAAUAUUGCACAAUGGGGGAAACCCUGAUGCAGCAACGCCGCGUGAGUGAUGACGGUCUUCGGAUUGUAAAACUCUGUCUUUAGGGACGAUAAUGACGGUACCUAAGGAGGAAGCCACGGCUAACUACGUGCCAGCAGCCGCGGUAAUACAGAGGGGGCAAGCGUUGUUCGGAAUUAUUGGGCGUAAAGGGCGCGUAGGCGGUGCGGUAAGUCAGGCGUGAAAGCCCCGGGCUCAACCCGGGAAUUGCGCUUGAUACUGUUGCGCUUGAAUCCAGGAGAGGAUGGCGGAAUUCCCAGUGUAGAGGUGAAAUUCGUAGAUAUUGGGAAGAACACCCGUGGCUAAGGCGGCUCUCUAGUACGGUACUGACGCUGAGACGCGAAAGCGUGGGGAGCAAACAGGAUUAGAUACCCUGGUAGUCCACGCUGUAAACGAUGUGUGCUUGACGUCGGAGGGCAUAGCCCAUCGGUGUCGGAGCUAACGCGGUAAGCACACCGCCUGGGGAGUACGGUCGCAAGGCUGAAACUUAAAGGAAUUGACGG